This 424-nucleotide ribosomal RNA is filed under the name Verrucomicrobiota bacterium. Its description in RNAcentral is "Verrucomicrobia bacterium partial 16S ribosomal RNA". It matches the Rfam family "Bacterial small subunit ribosomal RNA", at positions 355 to 776 of the family's 1533-position model. The record is from RNAcentral. Lineage: Bacteria; Pseudomonadati; Verrucomicrobiota.
UGAGGAAUAUUGGUCAAUGGACGCAAGUCUGAACCAGCCAAGUAGCGUGCAGGAUGACGGCCCUAUGGGUUGUAAACUGCUUUUAUAUGGGGAUAAAGUGGGGAACGUGUUCCCUUUUGCAGGUACCAUAUGAAUAAGGACCGGCUAAUUCCGUUCCAGCAGCCGCGGUAAUACGGAAGGUUCGGGCGUUAUCCGGAUUUAUUGGGUUUAAAGGGAGCGUAGGCCGUUUGGUAAGCGUGUUGUGAAAUGUAGGAGCUCAACUUCUAGAUUGCAGCGCGAACUGUCAGACUUGAGUGCGCACAACGUAGGCGGAAUUCAUGGUGUAGCGGUGAAAUGCUUAGAUAUCAUGAAGAACUCCGAUUGCGAAGGCAGCUUACGGGAGCGCAACUGACGCUAAAGCUCGAAGGUGCGGGUAUCGAACAGG